GCCUGGAUGGUGGAAUCGGUAGACACGAGAGACUUAAAAUCUCUUUCCUUCGGGAGUGAGGGUUCGAGUCCCUCUCCGGGCACCA
This 85-nucleotide transfer RNA is filed under the name Patescibacteria group bacterium. RNAcentral describes it as "tRNA-Leu". It matches the Rfam family "tRNA". From Rfam's summary of the family: Transfer RNA (tRNA) molecules are approximately 80 nucleotides in length. Their secondary structure includes four short double-helical elements and three loops (D, anti-codon, and T loops). The record is from RNAcentral.